AUUGAACGCUGGCGGCAGGCCUAACACAUGCAAGUCGAGCGGAUGAAGGGAGCUUGCUCCUGGAUUCAGCGGCGGACGGGUGAGUAAUGCCUAUGAAUCUGCCUGGUAGUGGGGGAUAACGUCCGGAAACGGGCGCUAAUACCGCAUACGUCCUGCGGGAGCAAGUGGGGGAUCUUCGGACCUCACGCUAUCAGAUGAGCCUAGGUCGGAUUAGCUAGUUGGUGGGGUAAAGGCCUACCAAGGCGACGAUCCGUAACUGGUCUGAGAGGAUGAUCAGUCACACUGGAACUGAGACACGGUCCAGACUCCUACGGGAGGCAGCAGUGGGGAAUAUUGGACAAUGGGCGAAAGCCUGAUCCAGCCAUGCCGCGUGUGUGAAGAAGGUCUUCCGAUUGUAAAGCACUUUAAGUUGGGAUGAAGGGCAGUAAGUUAAUACCUUGCUGUUUUGACGUUACCAACAGAAUAAGCACCGGCUAACUUCGUG
RNAcentral lists this ribosomal RNA (484 nucleotides) under uncultured bacterium. RNAcentral's name for it is "partial 16S ribosomal RNA". It matches the Rfam family "Bacterial small subunit ribosomal RNA", at positions 30 to 507 of the family's 1533-position model. The record is from RNAcentral.